UCCACAUUUUUACCUCAUCUUUCCUACAAGUACACUUUGUAACCAGAUUCUAACCCAUUCAUUCACUAGGGAAAUGAACAAUGUACUUUCAUUCAAACUAACUUGAAAUAUCUUUCUGGUUCAGUAUAAAAUCACAAUAUGUGCAAAGCUUAUUAACAUGUUCUAAGGUCAUGUAUGUAUCUUGUUGAUACAAAGCAUCUUGUGUGUUCUGAGAGAAACGUUAGAACAUUAAAGUAUUCUGUGAACGGAUUAACUCCAUGCCACUUUGCUCUCUAGUGGUCAUUCGGAGGCACUGAGAAACUCCAAAGAAUACACUGAGUCAGGAUCCUUCACACACCUCAGUUAUUUGUUGUGAAAGGUUUGGUGGUCCGCAAAGGUGGGCAUGUGAAUUCAACAAGAAACUGAUCUAUGCAACCCAGACAUCCAGACAAGGUAAAAUGAAAAUCAUCCUAAACAUGGCGAUGAGGCAUAAAUGACGUCUCUGUCAGGACGUCACAGAGCACAAAGGUCCUGUUCUCCACAGACGUUAUAAAGGAGGCUGCAGGGAGAGGCUCAGGGUUAAUGUUGGGCUUGUAGGGGGAGUGAGGUGGGAUACCACAGGAAGCUUAUCAGGGUCAGCUACGCACUAUGGGGAGCUGGUGUGAUUACCUUUACCGUACAUUACUGUGUGCCACCAGACUCUUUUACAGCCAUGGUCACAUUCAAGCAGAGGAAUACAAAGCUAAAUAUUUAACUUAUUUCAAGACAACAGAGGACAGCAAUGAAAAGCAAUUGAUCAACGAUUUACAUGGAAUUUGCAAAGACUUCAGAACAAUCAAUUUCUGGCUCUAAGAAAAAAACCACGGCUAUCUGCCUGUGUGUUAUCCAGGAGACCAGUGUGAACUAAGAAAAGGCUCCAGGAUUGGGAAACUAUGUGACUGCUCUCUGCUGAGAACAUGCAACUCUUUUCUACAUUGUUGUUUGUGAUUCUCUCUGUUUUACAAGUCUAACAAAA
Etheostoma spectabile (orangethroat darter) is the source of this 994-nucleotide long non-coding RNA. RefSeq lists it as uncharacterized. Lineage: Eukaryota; Metazoa; Chordata; Actinopteri; Perciformes; Percidae. The record is from RefSeq and is a predicted model, not a curated record. The transcript has 3 exons.